This 93-nucleotide transfer RNA is filed under the name Ramazzottius varieornatus. It matches the Rfam family "tRNA". From Rfam's summary of the family: Transfer RNA (tRNA) molecules are approximately 80 nucleotides in length. Their secondary structure includes four short double-helical elements and three loops (D, anti-codon, and T loops). Further hydrogen bonds mediate the characteristic L-shaped molecular structure. tRNAs have two regions of fundamental functional importance: the anti-codon, which is responsible for specific mRNA codon recognition, and the 3' end, to which the tRNAs corresponding amino acid is attached (by aminoacyl-tRNA synthetases). tRNAs cope with the degeneracy of the genetic code in two manners: having more than one tRNA (with a specific anti-codon) for a particular amino acid; and 'wobble' base-pairing, i.e. permitting non-standard base-pairing at the 3rd anti-codon position. The record is from Rfam by way of RNAcentral. Lineage: Eukaryota; Metazoa; Tardigrada; Eutardigrada; Parachela; Ramazzottiidae.
GGUGACGUGGCCGAGUGGUCUAAGGCGCUGGUUUCAGGAGAGGUGGAGUUACCAGUCUCUUCGGGGGCAUGGGUUCGAAUCCCAUCGUCAUCA